Dendrothele bispora CBS 962.96 is the source of this 93-nucleotide non-coding RNA. Lineage: Eukaryota; Fungi; Basidiomycota; Agaricomycetes; Agaricales. The record is from the annotation of a GenBank genome assembly.
UCCCUCUUAGCUCAGUUGGUAGAGCGCGUCACUAGUAUGUGUUAAGCUGUGAGUACAAUGACGAGGUCAGUCGUUCGAGUCGGCUAGAGGGAA